UACAGGGGGUGCUAGCGUUGUUCGGAAUUACUGGGCGUAAAGGGCGCGUAGGCGGCUCAACAAGUCAGAUGUGAAAUCCCGGGGCUUAACUCCGGACGUGCAUUUGAAACUGUUAGGCUAGAGUGCAGUAGAGGAUGGUGGAAUUCCCAGUGUAGAGGUGAAAUUCGUAGAUAUUGGGAGGAACACCAGUGGCGAAGGCGGCCAUCUGGACAGUGACUGACGCUGAGACGCGAAAGCGUGGGUAGCAAACAGG
Molecule: ribosomal RNA, 253 nt
Filed under: uncultured bacterium
Lineage: Bacteria
Description: partial 16S ribosomal RNA
Rfam family: Bacterial small subunit ribosomal RNA
Source: RNAcentral